Molecule: ribosomal RNA, 773 nt
Filed under: uncultured Neocallimastigales
Lineage: Eukaryota; Fungi; Neocallimastigomycota; Neocallimastigomycetes; Neocallimastigales
Description: partial large subunit ribosomal RNA
Rfam family: Eukaryotic large subunit ribosomal RNA
Source: RNAcentral
CGUCUAUAUACGUAUAGCAUAUCAAUAAGCGGAGGAAAAGAAACUAACUAGGAUUCCCUCAGUAACGGCGAGUGAAGCGGGAAGAGCUCAAAUUUGAAAUCUUCAAGGUUCUACCUUGACGAAUUGUAGUUUAAAGAAGUGUUUUCUGUUGGAGUUUUGGUAAAAGUUCUUUGGAAUAGGACAUCAUAGAGGGUGAGAAUCCCGUAUUUGACCAUUAUUUCCAACUUUGUGAUACACUUUCAAAGAGUCGGAUUGUUUGGGAAUGCAGUCCAAAAUGGGUGGUAAAUUUCAUCUAAAGCUAAAUACUGGCGAGAGACCGAUAGCGAACAAGUACCGUGAGGGAAAGAUGAAAAGAACUUUGAAAAGAGAGUUAAACAGUACGUGAAAUUGUCAAAAGGGAAGCGUUUGACACCAGUGUUGUUUUCUCGAAAAUCAAUUAAAAAUGGCAGGAUUUUGUGUUGUAUUGACUUUAUCAGCUUUCUGCACUUUUUUCUUGUCUUUUUUAAUGCACUUUUCGUUUAACAAGUCAACAUCAAUUUCUUUUGUUGUAAAAGGGUCAUUGGAAGGUGGCUUUCUUUUCGGAGAAAGUGUUUAUAGCCUUUGGCCUCUGCAAUCGGAGAGAUUGAGGUCUGCAGCGUAGAUCCUUCGGGGUUAGAUACAUUUGUGCUAAGUUAUAGCCUUUCAUAGACAACUUGUUGACUAUGAUCAGUCAUGUAGCUUACUCGCUUAUGCUAUUUUACCUACGCUUAGGAUGUUGAUCUGUAGUGCGUGCG